UACGGAGGGUGCAAGCGUUGUUCGGAAUUACUGGGCGUAAAGCGCGUGUAGGCGGUUUGGUAAGUCAGAUGUGAAAGCCCUGAGCUCAACUCAGGAAGUGCAUUUGAAACUGCCAUACUCGAGUAUGGGAGAGGAGAGUGGAAUUCCCAGUGUAGAGGUGAAAUUCGUAGAUAUUGGGAGGAACACCCGUGGCGAAGGCGACUCUCUGGACCAAUAAUGACGCUGAGACGCGAAAGCGUGGGGAGCAAACAGG
Molecule: ribosomal RNA, 253 nt
Filed under: uncultured bacterium
Lineage: Bacteria
Description: partial 16S ribosomal RNA
Rfam family: Bacterial small subunit ribosomal RNA
Source: RNAcentral